This is a non-coding RNA of Zonotrichia albicollis (white-throated sparrow), 1577 nucleotides long. Lineage: Eukaryota; Metazoa; Chordata; Aves; Passeriformes; Passerellidae. The record is from RefSeq and is a predicted model, not a curated record.
AGACAGAGCACAGCAGUGCCCCAGUGAAUCUGGCCAGGGAUGUGAAGCACUCCUGGGUUCCCUGGGUUCCAGCAGGAGCCCUUGUGCUGUGCUGCCCAGGCGCUCAGAGCCGUCUACCAGCUCCACCCUUCCUCCCGCCUGCAAUUAGCACUUGCGGCGCUGCAAAGGGAGAUGAGAUUCUCUCGCUGUCCUCCCUCAGAGCUCGCUCGCACCUUCCCCACCGGGUGGGAACAUGUGCUGCGGGUUAGGAAACAUUCUCAUCGUGGAAUCGCAUUUGCAGCAAUCCUACCCCCCGCCGCCUGCUCGCUUCUGGCUAUCAGGCUCUGCUGCAGCUCGUGGUGGUGGUGAUGGACACGUGAACAGCAGAGCUCAGCACAGCUCCUGGUUCAGCAGAGCCUCAGAUCUCCAGGAUUCUCUUCAUUCCUCCUGGAAAUGUGUGAGCACAAACUGGGCCCAGUUUGUUCCACCCAGGGUAACUGGAGCUGGUUAUCCAGACUGAAGGUUAAGAAGACUGAAUAUGGUGGGUUUGUCCCAAAAUGAGCUCUAUUUACUUACCUGGAGGUGGGAUGACAUGGAAAUCAGCAAUGACAGCUGUAUUUCACAUCUGCAGUUCAGCUCUACCAUCAUUGCCAGCAGUUGGGGUGUUACCAGGGAGCAGCAGCUUCCAUCUCAGACAUGCUUGGAAUGACAGAUCCUGGAGAUGGCCACAGCUGGACCCCAGCCAGAGGUGAAUGCUGGCAGCAGUGCCACUGAUGGCCUCCUGCAGUGAAUGAAAUGAUGACCAGCAGUGCCCAGGCUGAGCUGACCCAACCUGUCCCCAGCCCCUCCACCAAACUUACCUGGGAUGAAAGGCAUGGAAUGACAGGCUCAGAGGGGAAUGACAGGCACAGAGUGCCAGAGCUGGCACAGAGGCCUCUCCUGCAGGCAUCUUGCUGGCUGUUUUAAGGUCUUCUGCCUCUAAGUGGCACCACGCUGGGUGAUUGAACACUUGCUGGAAUCUGUUCUACCUUUCAUUGUAAUGAUUCCUUACAGAACUCCGACUUUCCCAACUCUGAACUUUCAGGAGUACUGCCUGGAUGUCAGAGCCCUUUUGUCAGAAAGACCAGAGCCUUCUGCAGUGAUGGGCCCAGUACUGCAGAAUCCCUUUGGAAAGCCGCAGCUCUUAACCCUUCCCUGGGAAAGUCUGAAGCGGAGUUUUUUGAGAAGGCUGUCACAUCCCUGGGAUUUGUAAUGGCAGGGAUUGAAAAGAGAGCCAGGCAGAUCUUCCCUGGUGUGAACUGCCUGAGGGUCACACUGAAUUGUACCCAGCCAUGACCUGGCUUACGGUUUUGUAUUUGCUUAAAAUAAUGAGGCCCAGACUGUCUCACAUGCAGCUUCUGCUCAGAAAGCAGGAAACAAUUUGGGAGGGGGAAAGGUGUCCCAGAAAGGUGGAGUCCAACCUACAAACACACACACACUUAGCCUGGGAGCCCUGAAAUGCUGGAGCAAACUGCACUCCUCAAAGCAGACAUGCAGCACUGUGGUGGUGUUUGCAGGGGCCUUAGGAUGAGGGAAGAGAUUUAUUUAUUGAUUUAUUA